CCCGACACUACCGGGGGGAAUAACCCACGAGGACCACUCCACCAGGCAGCAGGCACCAACUUCGCUUGACUCGCUUCGCCCCAAACGGCGAUAGCCAACCGCGAUCGAUAGAUGUUCAAGCGCACCGGCGGCAGUCGACGAAGGGUGAGCCCAUGUACUCAAGCAGCACGCCGUAGCUGAUCUCCCCAUCGCCGAUUUUCAGGUCACCCGAUUGAUAUGUGAUGGAGCUGGGCACCGGACAUGUCGCCAAGUGCCCAAGUUAUGUACUACGGUAGCCACUACAACAAGCCAAGAAAAUUCCGCCCCGCACCAGCCUCCACCAGAAAUCAAUACUGCACAUAUAUGUUGUAGGAAGCCAUGAACUUCGUAUUGAAUACCUUCGAAAUAGGACGAGGACAAAGAUAAAGAUAUUAAGCUCCGUCGCAACAGCAUAUAGAAACCAAGGUGAGUAGUGACGGGAUAAGAUGUUCACAAUUUCGUGUCCAAAAUAUUAUAGGUAGAAGUCAAUAUUGCCCUCGCAGUGUUUUGUAAAUCACAUGUACAGAUCUUACGGGUAUACUUGUAAUUUCAUACGAAUGUAUGAUCUACUAUAAAUAAAUGAACAGUGUCAUGUAUAAAGUACCUUUUGAAAGGCUGGAUAACAGAUCCGUGUAAUCUU
Molecule: long non-coding RNA, 658 nt
Organism: Zea mays
Lineage: Eukaryota; Viridiplantae; Streptophyta; Magnoliopsida; Poales; Poaceae
Exons: 3
Source: RefSeq, a predicted model, not a curated record